This 490-nucleotide ribosomal RNA is filed under the name uncultured bacterium. RNAcentral's name for it is "partial 16S ribosomal RNA". It matches the Rfam family "Bacterial small subunit ribosomal RNA", at positions 29 to 507 of the family's 1533-position model. The record is from RNAcentral.
AUUGAACGCUGGCGGCGGGCUAAAAACUGCCAAUUCAAAGGUAAAAAGGAGGAGCUUGCUGCUUUGGCGAUGGGUGGGGGGCGGGGGGGGAAAGGUUGGGGAACUGCCUGGAGGAGGGGGAUAACUACUGGAAAACGUAGCUAAUACCGGCUAACCGCGCCAGACCCAAGGGGGGGUACUUAAGGGCCUUUUGCCUCGGGUGUGGCCCAGAGGGGAUUAGCUAGUAGGGGGGGUAACGGCUCACCUAGGCGACGAUCCCUAGCUGGUCUGAGAGGAUGACCAGCCACACUGGAACUGAGACACGGUCCAGACUCCUACGGGAGGCAGCAGUGGGGAAUAUUGCACAAUGGGCGCAAGCCUGAUGCAGCCAUGCCGCGUGUAUGAAGAAGGCCUUCGGGUUGUAAAGUACUUUCAGCGGGGAGGAAGGGAGUAAAGUUAAUACCUUUGCUCAUUGACGUUACCCGCAGAAGAAGCACCGGCUAACUCCGUG